This 4347-nucleotide long non-coding RNA is filed under the name Homo sapiens (human). RNAcentral describes it as "HSALNT0142416". Lineage: Eukaryota; Metazoa; Chordata; Mammalia; Primates; Hominidae. The record is from RNAcentral.
CCACUGUGACGUAACACGUCAGAAAACGUCAUAGACACCGCCCACUCGGCGAACUGUCUCCGAGCGGAGCCGGGCUGGAUUGGAUUGGACCCCUGGGCGGGAAAGGACGGACGGGUUAAGUAGCCAAUCACCAAUUGCGCUCCAGCCAGAGGGGCGAUGUUCUUGGGGAGCCUGGGGAUCUGGAAGAAGUUCAGUGUGAGGACGAGUGUUAGGAAAUAAGGCUGAAGACAGAGGCAACCCUGGAGGAUCUUCUAACCCAUGUCAAGCAGUUGAGAAUUUAUGGAGUGAAAUAGCAAGCCAUUGAAGAGUUUCAAGCUUUCAUCCAGCUUUUAAGGGAAACUAAUAUCUCAUGAAAUUGUGAGGGCCUGGAAUCUUCAAAGAGCCAAGGAUUCUGCCAGACUGAGCAAUAGACUUGAUGAGCAUUCUCCACUUAAGAUCUGAACUAUGAGAAGUCGAAUCAAAGCAGUUCUUUUGUAAUUCCAAACAGCCAUUUAGACAUAUGAAGAAAUGAAAGUAAAGCAGUUCUAAAGACAAGGAAGAGGGUCAAUGAAAGGUGCUCCCAAUGCAAUCACAAAGAUCUUUAAAAGUGGAAGAAGGUGGGAGAGGUCAGAGUGAUACGAAGAGAACUCAGUCUACCACUGCUGGCUUUGAAGAUGGAAGAAUGGGGCUAUGAGCCCUGGAUUGCGGGCAGCCUGCAGAAGCUGGGGCAGAGAUUCCACACAGGCACCUCUAGAAAAUAAUGCAGCCAGCCAAUCCUUAGACUUUAUCCCAGUGAGAGUCAAGUUGGACUUCUGACCUACAAAAGAGUAAAUAUCUAAAUUAUCUGUGGCAACAACUUGGUGGGGUCAACUCGAAUGUUUUUGUCGGCUGUUCUUGAAGACUUCUGGGUCUCUACAACCACAUUCUUUGGCUGGUGCCAGUGUUUAAGCACUCUGAAACUGCAUAGCAGCAUGUUUGAAGGUGGCCUGUCAAAUUUGGGAAACUGACGGUGUGACUGAGCUAGUCACAGGGGUCUUCACAGAAAAGGCAGUCGGGGUCCUGGUCAACUGGAGAUUCCAUCUGAAUGAUGAGAAGAAUACACCUUGGCAGCUGCUGGAUCAAGGCAAAUGAGAGACCCAUGGAGCUCACUAAAUCCAACUCUACAGCUUGGAGCUAAGCCUAACUUAGCCAAGUCUAAACCAGUUUGACCUCAGCCAAUUCACAGAUGUUUGAGCCAGAAGGUUAAGCCUCUUGACGCUUACUGGGCACUCACAGUUGUUAGUUCCCUGGAAGACAUGAAAGAGCUUGAUUGGUUCUGUAGUCGUCAGUCAAUAACCAACUGUAACAUACCUACACUUCCAACAAAAUCUUGAUUUGGGAAAUUGAGUGUCUGCUUAUAGUUAAUCCUCUAUUUUUUGACACCUAGUAGGAAAAACAUUUUCAAAAGAGCCAUGACCUGACUCAGUUAAUAUGCAAGGAAAAAUAAGCAGUUCCAAACUUGUCAGUUUAUCCAUCAUCCCUUAUCCAAAAUCCUUCAACUCUCUUGGAAUUAUUUUGUUCUUCAUACUUGCCCAACAAAUAUCUUACUCUUGUCUUGGACUUUAUUUUAUAGUUAUCUCACAUAAGCUCCUUGUGGCUAAGGGCACAUAUUUGGAAUCAGACUACCCUAGUUCAACUCUUGGGUCUACCAUUUAUUAGCUUGUAUUACUUUGGGAAAGAUAAUUAAAUUCUCCAGAUCUAAUUUCCCCCAUUAUAAGAUAAUAAUAGUUAUUACCUGCUAGGAUUGUCUUGAGAAGUAAAUUAGAUAAUUCAUAAGAACCAUUUAACACAGUGCCAGCCACAUAAUGAAGGCAUAGUAAGGGAAAGUUAUUAUGCUGUUGAUAAUACUUGUCUAGGCAGGGGUCUCAUAUUUUUCCCUGUAUCCAUUACUGUACAAUUCAUCUGUCCCAUGACAUUCUAAGAUUGUUUUAGAGUGAGUUGCUUCAGAGUUGAAUAAUUCUAAUAAUAUAUUCUCAUGUUUGGAAACAACUUGGAAUUCCAUUUAGUGUAGACAUCAACAAUGAAAUCGCUAGAGGAUGAGUAAUUUCUACAAUUUUUAUUCAUUAUAGAGAGACCAAUGGGUAUAAUGGUGAAAAGAACUGAGUAGAAGGUCAGGAGGUCAAAGAGACUGAGUUUAAACCCUCACUCUGCUGAGUACUGUUAAUAAUGGUAUGAUCUUAAGAGAACUAAUCUUUAGUUUUUCCCACCUUAAAAACAGAGUUGUCAUGAGUAUUUAAUAAUAGAGGGUAGUAUGUAAACUUCCUGGCAUAUAGCAACUGCUCAACAAAUAGAAGUUAUAGUUUUUUCUUAACUUGCCAAAGAGCCAAGGGAAAAAUGAAGAUUUUGUAGCCAAAGCCAUUUAUCUUUCUCUGUUAUGUGCCUAUCUGUUCCAGAAACAGAAUCAAUUCCUUGAACCUCAUCAAAGGAAGGAUUUGAACAUUUAAAAAAAAAUCAAUCUCUUUGGGUUUGUUAUUGCUUGUUUCCCAUACCUCAGAGACACAAAUACAAACCUUUAUAAUGUCAUCAGGAAGAAGAGGAGUCAAACACUCCUUAACUCAAUAAUUGCAAUGUUAUUAUUUUGCAAGGAAUAGAGUCAAAAUUCCAUUCACAUGAGGACUGUAACUUCUUCAUUACUCCUUGAGGCACGAUGUCCUUGAUUUUAAGUAGCUCAUGUAGAAACUAGUUGUAAGUCUUUAGCGGAGAGACUGUACUGGAAUUAUAGGAUCUACUUAGGGGUUUGAGCUUCCCCACCCACUUAGAGUGACAGUUCACACCUAUAAAAACACAAAAGUCCGGGGGUUUAUUAAACAUUAGGAGAUCCAAAGAGCCAAGACUUCUACCUGUAAAAGUGGUGCUUCCUAAGCAGAAGAAAUGGAAUUUCUCAGAGAAUACAGCUUGGCUUGACCAAUGGACUGUACAAGGAAGAUUAGGAGGUAAUUACUGGGGUAAAAGAGAAAUGGUUGCAUCUUUCUGGAACACUCUAAUAAAACUGAAAGUUUUUCCUGAUUUCUUCUUUUAUUUGAUACAAGGGUCAAAUUUGAUACAUAAAGUCAUAAUGUCCCACAUGUACUUCUCAGGAACAUCUGUUUAGUCCUACUACAAAACUUGGGGAACAUGGUUUCCUAAUGUGGUACCAGUCGUCUCUUCAUGGAUGACUUCAGGAAGAAAUUCUGACUGGCAGACUCCACAAGUAUAAGACAAUAAGAGGCCAAUUUCUUUAUUCUUCUCCUCUUCUCCGCUUGUCCCCCCACCUCAUUAGCUUUGGGAGAAUAACACAGUGUGGAACAGAAAAAUAAGGAGCCUUGUUGUACUUCAUUGGCCUCAAGAGGUCUCAUCUAUUAAAUAGAUCCAUUAUGUUACUCUCAGAGAAAAUUAUAGUCAAAAAUAUUUCAAGUUUUAGGGCAGUACUGAAUAUAUAAGGGCUCUGUUACUUAAUCUCUGUGCUCUUAUCUUGGGGCGGCAAAGCUCAGUAGGGCUAUCUUGAAAGUAGCCUGAAAUCAAUUGGUCAGAUGAAAUCAAUUGGUCAGGAGGAGCCCAUCAGGAGGAUCAAGGACAUGGGUGACACAGUGAGUGUAAUUAUUAGUCAGGAUAGGUUAGGUUAGGCAUUAGUGGCAAAUUAUCUCCAAAUCUCAGUGGCUUGGUACAAUAAAGGCUUAUUGCUUAUUCAUGCAGCAUGUCUACUGCAGGUCCACAAGGGCUCUGUUCCACUCACAGAUCCAGAUUGUAACAUUCUUUGCCAUCUCAUAGCUACAUGAUCUAAACAUCAGCAGAAGGAAAGUGUCUUGGGUCAGGCUACCUGGAAAACAGAUCAAGAUAAAGAUUUCUGUGCAAAAAGGUUAUUGGGGAGGGAACUCUAAUUGAUAUCUGCCAGGGAUAGUGCAAGAAUGGUUGAGCAGACAAUUGUUGAACUACUUACUAUGUAUGUAGUAACAACAAAGGUCUUGACCAACCCAAAAGGGAGUCCUGGAGCUCAAAUGGUUCUUCACAGUUCUCUCACCUUAAGGCAAGGGACCUGGGCCUUUAUUAUCCCUUAUCAACCAGUCAUUUGAUUAGCUUGACCCCAGAGAGAGGUUAUGACCUUGAGUAAAGUGGCUCUCCUCUACUGAGGAUAAUUCCAGGAGAGCAACUCAGCUGAGAGCUGUCAGCAAUGGGAGGAAUCAGAGUCUCAGUCCUGAAGAGCAGAUCUGGGCAGCAUAUCAUAGCAUCCACCACAAGGGGGAAAGUGCGUGCACUUUUCAUUGCCUCCACCUGGGAGUGACAUAUGCCAUUUUUUGCUGUCAUUUCAAUGACCAAAAGGAGUCACAUGAUUCUAAUUGGAAGGAACCUGGG